GACGAACGCUGGCGACGUGCUUAACACAUGCCAGUCGAACGGAAAGGCCCUGCUUUUGUGGGGUGCUCGAGUGGCGAACGGGUGAGUAACACGUGAGUAACCUGCCCUUGACUUUGGGAUAACUUCAGGAAACUGGGGCUAAUACCGGAUAGGAGCUCCUGCUGCAUGGUGGGGGUUGGAAAGUUUCGGCGGUUGGGGAUGGACUCGCGGCUUAUCAGCUUGUUGGUGGGGUAGUGGCUUACCAAGGCUUUGACGGGUAGCCGGCCUGAGAGGGUGACCGGCCACAUUGGGACUGAGAUACGGCCCAGACUCCUACGGGAGGCAGCAGUGGGGAAUAUUGCACAAUGGGCGGAAGCCUGAUGCAGCAACGCCGCGUGCGGGAUGACGGCCUUCGGGUUGUAAACCGCUUUCGCCUGUGACGAAGCGUGAGUGACGGUAAUGGGUAAAGAAGCACCGGCUAACUACGUG
This 468-nucleotide ribosomal RNA is filed under the name uncultured bacterium. RNAcentral describes it as "partial 16S ribosomal RNA". It matches the Rfam family "Bacterial small subunit ribosomal RNA", at positions 28 to 507 of the family's 1533-position model. The record is from RNAcentral.